RNAcentral lists this ribosomal RNA (477 nucleotides) under uncultured bacterium. RNAcentral describes it as "bacterial SSU rRNA". It matches the Rfam family "Bacterial small subunit ribosomal RNA", at positions 32 to 500 of the family's 1533-position model. The record is from RNAcentral.
AACGCUGGCGGUAUGCUUAACACAUGCAAGUCGAACGGAAACGAAACUAGCUUGCUAGUUGGCGUCGAGUGGCGGACGGGUGAGUAACGCGUAGGAAUCUACCUAGUAGUGGGGGAUAGCCCGAAGAAAUUCGGAUUAAUACCGCAUAAUCUAUUCGUAGUAAAGUGGGGGACUUUCGAGCCUCACGCUAUUAGAUGAGCCUGCGUAAGAUUAGCUUGUUGGUAGGGUAAAAGCCUACCAAGGCUACGAUCUUUAGCUGGUCUGAGAGGAUGAUCAGCCACAUCGGGACUGAGACACGGCCCGAACUCCUACGGGAGGCAGCAGUGGGGAAUAUUGGACAAUGGGGGCAACCCUGAUCCAGCAAUACCGCGUGUGUGAAGAUGGCCUGAGGGUUGUAAAGCACUUUCAAUUGUGAAGAAAAGUUAGCGGUUAAUAACCGUUAGCCUUGACAUCAACUUUAGAAGAAGCACCGGCUAA